Non-coding RNA from Aedes albopictus (Asian tiger mosquito), 130 nucleotides. NCBI's taxonomy places the organism in Eukaryota, Metazoa, Arthropoda, Insecta, Diptera, Culicidae. The record is from Rfam.
GGGCACAAAUCUGAAGCAGCAAUUAAUGGUUUGCGCUGAAAAGUUGAUCGUAUGGCGGUUACUCGCUGGUGGUGACCAAUCGAUCAACUUUCCAGCGCAAACCAUUAAUUGCUGCUUCAGAUUUGUGCCC